GAUGUUAGCGGCGGACGGGUGAGUAACACGUGGAUAACCUACCUAUAAGACUGGGAUAACUUCGGGAAACCGGAGCUAAUACCGGAUAAUAUUUUGAACCGCAUGGUUCAAAAGUGAAAGACGGUCUUGCUGUCACUUAUAGAUGGAUCCGCGCUGCAUUAGCUAGUUGGUAAGGUAACGGCUUACCAAGGCAACGAUGCAUAGCCGACCUGAGAGGGUGAUCGGCCACACUGGAACUGAGACACGGUCCAGACUCCUACGGGAGGCAGCAGUAGGGAAUCUUCCGCAAUGGGCGAAAGCCUGACGGAGCAACGCCGCGUGAGUGAUGAAGGUCUUCGGAUCGUAAAACUCUGUUAUUAGGGAAGAACAUAUGUGUAAGUAACUGUGCACAUCUUGACGGUACCUAAUCAGAAAGCCACGGCUAACUACGUGCCAGCAGCCGCGGUAAUACGUAGGUGGCAAGCGUUAUCCGGAAUUAUUGGGCGUAAAGCGCGCGUAGGCGGUUUUUUAAGUCUGAUGUGAAAGCCCACGGCUCAACCGUGGAGGGUCAUUGGAAACUGGAAAACUUGAGUGCAGAAGAGGAAAGUGGAAUUCCAUGUGUAGCGGUGAAAUGCGCAGAGAUAUGGAGGAACACCAGUGGCGAAGGCGACUUUCUGGUCUGUAACUGACGCUGAUGUGCGAAAGCGUGGGGAUCAAACAGGAUUAGAUACCCUGGUAGUCCACGCCGUAAACGAUGAGUGCUAAGUGUUAGGGGGUUUCCGC
RNAcentral lists this ribosomal RNA (762 nucleotides) under uncultured Staphylococcus sp. RNAcentral describes it as "bacterial SSU rRNA". It matches the Rfam family "Bacterial small subunit ribosomal RNA", at positions 88 to 837 of the family's 1533-position model. Lineage: Bacteria; Bacillati; Bacillota; Bacilli; Caryophanales; Staphylococcaceae. The record is from RNAcentral.